Molecule: ribosomal RNA, 716 nt
Filed under: uncultured bacterium
Lineage: Bacteria
Description: bacterial SSU rRNA
Rfam family: Bacterial small subunit ribosomal RNA
Source: RNAcentral
GAGUUUGAUCCUGGCUCAGGACGAACGCUGGCGGCGUGCCUAAUACAUGCAAGUCGAGCGAGCUGAAUUCAAAGAUUCCUUCGGGAUGAUUUGUUGGACGCUAGCGGCGGAUGGGUGAGUAACACGUGGGCAAUCUGCCCUAAAGACUGGGAUACCACUUGGAAACAGGUGCUAAUACCGGAUAACAACAUGAAUCGCAUGAUUCAAGUUUGAAAGGCGGCGCAAGCUGUCACUUUAGGAUGAGCCCGCGGCGCAUUAGCUAGUUGGUGGGGUAAAGGCCUACCAAGGCAAUGAUGCGUAGCCGAGUUGAGAGACUGAUCGGCCACAUUGGGACUGAGACACGGCCCAAACUCCUACGGGAGGCAGCAGUAGGGAAUCUUCCACAAUGGACGCAAGUCUGAUGGAGCAACGCCGCGUGAGUGAAGAAGGUUUUCGGAUCGUAAAGCUCUGUUGUUGGUGAAGAAGGAUAGAGGCAGUAACUGGUCUUUAUUUGACGGUAAUCAACCAGAAAGUCACGGCUAACUACGUGCCAGCAGCCGCGGUAAUACGUAGGUGGCAAGCGUUGUCCGGAUUUAUUGGGCGUAAAGCGAGCGCAGGCGGAAUGAUAAGUCUGAUGUGAAAGCCCACGGCUCAACCGUGGAACUGCAUCGGAAACUGUCAUUCUUGAGUGCAGAAGAGGAGAGUGGAACUCCAUGUGUAGCGGUGAAAUGCGUAGA